Molecule: ribosomal RNA, 484 nt
Filed under: Catonella sp. canine oral taxon 160
Lineage: Bacteria; Bacillati; Bacillota; Clostridia; Lachnospirales; Lachnospiraceae
Description: bacterial SSU rRNA
Rfam family: Bacterial small subunit ribosomal RNA
Source: RNAcentral
GAGUUUGAUCAUGGCUCAGGAUGAACGCUGGCGGCGUGCCUAACACAUGCAAGUCGAACGGAGAGCAUAAACGGAAGUUUUCGGAUGGAAGCUUAUGUUCUUAGUGGCGGACGGGUGAGUAACGCGUGGGCAACCUGCCUCAUACAGGGGGAUAACAGACGGAAACGUCUGCUAAGACCGCAUAAGUCGGAACUACCGCAUGGUAGAUUCGGGAAAAGAGCAAUCUGGUAUGAGAUGGGCCUGCGUCCGAUUAGCUAGUUGGUGAGGUAAUAGCUCACCAAGGCGACGAUCGGUAGCCGGACUGAGAGGUCGGACGGCCACAUUGGGACUGAGACACGGCCCAAACUCCUACGGGAGGCAGCAGUGGGGGAUAUUGCACAAUGGAGGAAACUCUGAUGCAGCGACGCCGCGUGAGUGAAGAAGUAUUUCGGUAUGUAAAGCUCUAUCAGCAGGGAAGAUGAUGACGUACCUGACUAAGAGCCCC